Molecule: long non-coding RNA, 641 nt
Organism: Agelaius phoeniceus (red-winged blackbird)
Lineage: Eukaryota; Metazoa; Chordata; Aves; Passeriformes; Icteridae
Source: RefSeq, a predicted model, not a curated record
UUUGAGCUCUCAGGAGUUGGAUUUGAGUUCUUUUGAUUUAAAUUUAUUAUAAAAAUUUGAUGAAUUGAUUUGUCAAAUUUUUAGUAUCAAUUUUUAAAACAAUCAUUAAAACCCCCAUAAAAUGGAACUUUUUGACUUUUCGAUGCAGCCAAGUCAACCAAACUGACUUCAUUUUCUUGCAUGGACUGAAAACCAUUCUGGAAGCCUCCUGAAGGAUGUUCCAUCUCCCCUGCUGGCAAAGAGGCACCUCCAGACAUUUCUCUGGCUGAAUUUGGUAGCAGAUGCACAACUGUGUUGGCUUUCAGCAAGUGAGGGUUCCUAACCCAAAAAUCACUGCCUGGAAUAUUGAGAAAUUUAAAAUCUUUUCAGAAAUUUAUUUUCUAAUGCUGCCUUUUUUUGCCCCUUUAAUCAAAACAGUCACAGAGGAUGUGUCAGAGGAUGCACACGGAGCUGCUGCUUGCCUUGAUGAUAUCUUUAAUAUUUGAGUUCAACAAAUGCUGCUGUCGUGUUAGAAGGAGCUAGAAAUGAAAACAACCCCAAAACCACCUGCUGUUCUCAUCCUUAUCUGUGCUCUCCCUCAAGCCAUGGUUUUGGCAUAAUACAGCUGCAUUUCUCAUGAUAAUAAAUUGUUAAGUACAGAA